RNA transcript from Coccinella septempunctata (seven-spotted ladybird), 1953 nucleotides. It is a transcript of the gene named RUN domain-containing protein 1, with no coding region annotated. Lineage: Eukaryota; Metazoa; Arthropoda; Insecta; Coleoptera; Coccinellidae. The record is from RefSeq and is a predicted model, not a curated record. The transcript has 9 exons.
GUAGAGGUAAAUGAAAAGCUGCAAUUAAGUUAGGCAUGUUGCAAGUGGCAAACAUUGCAUUUAUGAAAUUUCAAAGAGAACAUAGCUUUGACAUGGAUGAUCAAGAAAAUAUGUAUUCUUCUGAACCUUCUUUGGAGGAACAACCCACUGGUAAAAGAUGGGAUCCUCUCGGAGCACCAAAUGAUCAAGAUAAUGAAUCAAAUGCAAUGGAGAAAUUUGAAUACCACUGCUGUGAUCAUUCUUCAGCUGAAAAGAUACAAAGCUUGGAAGAAGAACAAGAACUUCUCAAUUCGUCCCUGUUUGCCUUGACCACCCAUUUUGCACAGGUACAGUUUCGUCUGAAGCAAGUUGUGAAUUCUCCACCUGAAGAUAGGGAAGAACUACUCAAAUCCCUAGAAGAAUUUGCCUUUCGUGGUAUUCCAGAUGUUGGAAUGGUUCAGGAAAGGAUGGAUGAAGCAAGUCUUGCUGAGGCUGUCCGGCUGAGACGCACCCAACAAAGAGAAUUGAUCGAUAGACUCAAAUCUCAGCUUAGGGAAUUGGAACAAUAUGCAUUUGAAAAUGGGGAUUCGGCUGUUCCACAGGAUGUUAUAUUAGAAAGACAAAGAGUCAUUUUGAAUGAACUCAAAACAAGAAUGAAUCUUGAAAUCGACGAGCAGAAAUACCUUCAAAUGACACCUGCUGAUGUUAAAGAACAAAUUAAUCUUGCAUUAGAUCAACUGGUUAGUCCAUUAAGAGUUAAAGAACAUCUUGUUGCACAACUGAAGACACAAGUAGCUGACUUGGAACGUUUCAUAAGCUACUUACAAACUGACACAAAGCAAGCGAAAUGUUCAUGUGGUUGCUCAUAUCAUUCUGUUAAGAAACCCUUCAGUACUGACACUAUAGGUCUCAUACAGAGAACUGCAACUUUGCUUCAAAUGUUUGCAAUACUUCAACUGGGAUGUGGACCCCAGAAAUUCAGAAAGAAUGAUUUGAAGAAUACUAAAGUGAAUCAUUAUGGUGAUCUUCGAGCCAAACUCGAGAUGGCAAUAUCCCAUGUUCGCGAAUUAGUUGUGGAAAAUGAGAAACAAAAACAUGCCCAAGAGGAGUACAGCAGUGAUUCAGAAACAGGAGGAGUCAAGUGUAAUGUCCAACUGACAAGAGCUGUGCGAAAAUAUUUAGCAACCAGUAUUCGCGAUUUGAUGCAGCAUGGUUCCACAGUUUCUAAUAAUACAUCUAGUAUCGUUCCAUUCAUUGGUUGUUUUCCCAGGAGGACUUCAACAGACCAGACACCGAUUCAUGCGUGGGAAUUAAUACUCCAGUAUUAUCAUCUGAAAAAUGGCGAAAAUUUCAACUCAACCCCUGCAAGAAAACUAUCUCAAAGUUUUAAUUUAGAUAUUGCUGGAUCAUCUCCAAUAAAUAGCAAGCAGACAAUGCUGAGUGCUAUUGGAGCUAUAAUUUCUACACAUUCUAGGUACAAGAGGAGCAACGAUUCUCAUUUUAAAGCUUUCAUCUGUGCUGGACUGAAUGCCAACAAGUUAGUGUCAUGGUUAAAUCACUUUUUUCAAUGUAAACCAUUGAUAAAGGCACACUACCAGCCUUGGAGUUACGUAGCAAAAACAGUUUGCAGACAUGCAUAAAACCUUGUCAGCUUCUGUGACUAAAAUUAUAUGAAGAGAAUCUGCAAAAUCCAACAAACUGUGGAUUGAAUUUCAUUAAGGAUUUAAAGACAGCUUGAAUAGCUUGGAUUCUUUAACUUGCUACAAGUUUGACCUUCCUGUGGAUUUGGCUGUACAACAGUUUCAGAAUAUCAAAGAUGUUUUUACUUGAAUUGGUAGUCAUUCCCGAGUAUAUUUCUAUUUUGUUACUGUGAUACAGAAUGAGUUAUGCUGUGUAGAUAAUUUUUGUUGAAUAGAGUUGGUUUGUGAGUCAUAUCAUCCAUGUUGAUUUCUUUAAUAAAAUAUUCUGUUCGUC